AGUCAGAUUGCUAAGACAGCUAGGAUGUUGGCUUGGAAGCAGCCAUUCAUUUAAAGAGUGCGUAACAGCUCACUAGUCGAGGAAUUUGGCGUGGAUAAUAAUCGGGUAUGAAGUUGUCUGCCGAAGCCGUGGAACCAGCAAUGGUUGGUAGGGGAGCAUUCCAUUCUGCGUCGAAGGCGUGGCGCGAGCCACUCUGGAGCGUAUGGAAAAGCAAAUGUAGGUAUAAGUAACGAUAAAG
Molecule: ribosomal RNA, 238 nt
Filed under: Bacteroides caecigallinarum
Lineage: Bacteria; Pseudomonadati; Bacteroidota; Bacteroidia; Bacteroidales; Bacteroidaceae
Description: partial 23S ribosomal RNA
Rfam family: Bacterial large subunit ribosomal RNA
Source: RNAcentral